UUUACCACAGAUAUCACAGAGAAUGGCAGAGCGGUACUUGGUGCACCAGGAGGCUAUUAUUUUCAAGGUCAGAUCAUCACUGCAGCUCUUGCUAACAUCAUGAGCAGUGGCAGCACGUUCUCUCCCAUUCACUCAGUGAGGGGUGAAACCAAAACUACACAAAGACGUGACUACUACGACCUGUAUCUGGGU
This is a long non-coding RNA of Puntigrus tetrazona (Sumatra barb), 192 nucleotides long. RefSeq lists it as uncharacterized. NCBI's taxonomy places the organism in Eukaryota, Metazoa, Chordata, Actinopteri, Cypriniformes, Cyprinidae. The record is from RefSeq and is a predicted model, not a curated record. The transcript has 3 exons.